RNAcentral lists this small RNA (108 nucleotides) under Burkholderia sp. Its description in RNAcentral is "Guanidine-I sequence". It matches the Rfam family "Guanidine-I riboswitch aptamer". Rfam says of the family: This family represents a conserved RNA structure found upstream of the ykkC and yxkD genes in Bacillus subtilis and related genes in other bacteria. Lineage: Bacteria; Pseudomonadati; Pseudomonadota; Betaproteobacteria; Burkholderiales; Burkholderiaceae. The record is from RNAcentral.
CAAAUGGAUGACUAGGGUUCCGGUCCGCAUGCAAGUCGAUGCGUGACGCUGGUCCGAGAGUUGUCGACCUCGAACGAGGUUACACGGCGGGACAAAAGCCCGGGAGAG